Molecule: ribosomal RNA, 521 nt
Filed under: uncultured bacterium
Lineage: Bacteria
Description: bacterial SSU rRNA
Rfam family: Bacterial small subunit ribosomal RNA
Source: RNAcentral
AAUAGAUACCCGGGUAGUCCACGCCGUAAACGAUGAGUGCUAAGUGUUGGAGGGUUUCCGCCCUUCAGUGCUGCAGCUAACGCAUUAAGCACUCCGCCUGGGGAGUACGGUCGCAAGACUGAAACUCAAAGGAAUUGACGGGGGCCUGCACAAGCGGUGGAGCAUGUGGUUUAAUUCGAAGCAACGCGAAGAACCUUACCAGGUCUUGACAUCUCCUGACCGCCCUGGAGACAGGGUCUUCCCUUCGGGGACAGGAUGACAGGUGGUGCAUGGUUGUCGUCAGCUCGUGUCGUGAGAUGUUGGGUUAAGUCCCGCAACGAGCGCAACCCUUGGUUCUAGUUGCCAGCAUUCAGUUGGGCACUCUAGAGCGACUGCCGGCGACAAGUCGAAGGAAGGUGGGGAUGACGUCAAAUCAUCAUGCCCCUUAUGACCUGGGCUACACACGUGCUACAAUGGAUGGUACAAAGGGCAGCGAAGCGGCGACGCAUGAGCGAAUCCCAGAAAACCAUUCUCAGUUCGGU